RNAcentral lists this ribosomal RNA (252 nucleotides) under uncultured bacterium. RNAcentral describes it as "partial 16S ribosomal RNA". It matches the Rfam family "Bacterial small subunit ribosomal RNA", at positions 524 to 776 of the family's 1533-position model. The record is from RNAcentral.
UACGAAGGGGGCUAGCGUUGUUCGGAUUUACUGGGCGUAAAGCGCACGUAGGCGGACUAUUAAGUCAGGGGUGAAAUCCCGGGGCUCAACCCCGGAACUGCCUUUGGUACUGUAGUCUUGAGUUCGAGAGAGGUGAGUGGAAUUCCGAGUGUAGAGGUGAAAUUCGUAGAUAUUCGGAGGAACACCAGUGGCGAAGGCGGCUCACUGGACCAUAACUGACGCUGAUGCACGAAAGCUAGGGGAGCAAACAGG